AAGUCGUAACAAGGUUUCCGUAGGUGAACCUGCGGAAGGAUCAUUACUGAGUAAAAUGGGUCUUUUAGGCCCAUAACUCCCACCCUUUUGUGUACCUUACCAAAAUUUUAAGUUGCCUUGGUAGGAACCUACCUCCCUAUUUUUUGGGGGGGGCAAGGCCUACCAUUGGAACUCUUUUAAACUCUUAUCAAUUGAGUCGUCUGAGAAAAUAAAUUCAAAUGAAUUAAAACUUUCAACAACGGAUCUCUUGGUUCUG
Molecule: unclassified non-coding RNA, 256 nt
Filed under: fungal sp.
Lineage: Eukaryota; Fungi
Description: partial internal transcribed spacer region
Rfam family: Eukaryotic small subunit ribosomal RNA (bases 1-46)
Source: RNAcentral